GACGUAGGGGGCCAGCGUUGCUCGGAAUUACUGGGCGUAAAGGGUUCGUAGGCGGUGCGGUAAGUCGGAAGUGAAAUCUCUGGGCUUAUCUCAGAGGCUGCUUUCGAAACUGCCGUGCUGGAGUGCGGGAGAGGCGAGUGGAAUUGCAGGUGUAGCGGUGAAAUGCGUAGAUAUCUGUAGGAACACCCGUGGCGAAAGCGGCGCGCUGGACCACAACUGACGCUGAGGAACGAAAGCUAGGGGAGCAAACAGG
This 253-nucleotide ribosomal RNA is filed under the name uncultured bacterium. RNAcentral describes it as "partial 16S ribosomal RNA". It matches the Rfam family "Bacterial small subunit ribosomal RNA", at positions 524 to 776 of the family's 1533-position model. The record is from RNAcentral.